RNAcentral lists this long non-coding RNA (723 nucleotides) under Oreochromis niloticus (Nile tilapia). Its description in RNAcentral is "lncRNA (ENSONIG00000036561.1)". Lineage: Eukaryota; Metazoa; Chordata; Actinopteri; Cichliformes; Cichlidae. The record is from RNAcentral.
AUGGUGGAAUUAAUGAUGGGUCGGGCGUUGCAGUGGGCACAAGCAGUUUUGAAUGUUCAACAUAACAUCUCUUAUCAGGAUUUCUUGAGCAAAUUCCAUUGUGUUUUUGACAAGGGGUCAAACCCGGACUGUGCGGCUAAUCGUUUUUUUACCCUGAAGCAGGGACGGAGGAGUGUGGUGGAUCUCUCUGUGGAUUUCUGGAUCCUGGCCGAGGAGGCGGCAUGGGCGGAGAUUGGGCUUCGGGGAGGCUUCCUGAACUGUCUGAAUGAAAAAAUUAAACAGUUUGGGAGACGAUCUGGAGAGGGACGGCGGGUGGCAGGGGGCGCUAGCGCUCUGAUGGGAUUACCUUCUGCUGAGUGGAGAGAAGAAGAUGAUAAAGAGCCAGUGGAGGAGGAGGAGCAGCCGAUGCAACUUGGAUGGGCACGGUUCAGUGCCGCUAGCUGGAGAAGACUGUGCACGGCAUGUGGAUUAAAAUGCUACACAUGUGCAGCUGCAGAUCCUAAAUCCUGCACAGACACCACAUCUUGUGCAUUCAUCUUCAACCGUUGUUUCUCUGGCAGAGUAGAUGGUCUUAAUGUAGUUACAAAGGGCUGCCUAAACAGUGUAGCAUGUGUUUGGCCUAUGUCUUGCUGUGAAGGGGACCUGUGUAACAGCACUAUUCCAACUGGUCCCAGUGCCAUCCUGCUGCUGGUAUCUUCAGCCAUCCUCAAAUUUCUUUUCUGA